This 397-nucleotide ribosomal RNA is filed under the name uncultured bacterium. RNAcentral describes it as "partial 16S ribosomal RNA". It matches the Rfam family "Bacterial small subunit ribosomal RNA", at positions 523 to 918 of the family's 1533-position model. The record is from RNAcentral.
AUACGUAGGUGACAAGCGUUAUCCGGAUUUACUGGGCGUAAAGGGCGUGUAGGCGGUCUUGCAAGUCAGAAGUGAAAUUCCUGAGCUCAACUCGGGCGCUGCUUCUGAAACUGCAGGACUUGAGUGCUGGAGGGGAGAGCGGAAUUCCUAGUGGAGCGGUAAAAUGAGCAGAUAUUAGGAAGAACACCGGUGGCGAAGGCGGCUAUCUGGACAGUAACUGACGCUGGGGCGCGAAAGCGUGGGGAGCAAACAGGAUUAGAUACCCGGGUAGUCCACGCCGUAAACGAUGAAUACUAGGUGUAGGGGGUAUCGACUCCCUCUGUGCCGCAGUUAACGCAAUAAGUAUUCCGCCUGGGGAGUACGGCCGCAAGGUUGAAACUCAAAGGAAUUGGCGGGG